AAUUAUAAAAUAAAUCAAUCAUUUUGACGAGAAAAUAGGGAAAAGACGAAAAAUAUUUUUUUAUAAAAGUAUUUAAAUUAAAUACAAUUAAAACAAUGUGCAGCCCAAUCCAAUGUUUGCCGGAUUACAAGGAACCCCCAACGUACAUCCCCUGCAUCCCCAUCAGAGGCCCGUCAUGUCUUCCUUGUGGGAUGGACAAUUGGACGGUCCGCCGGCCGCUGAUCGUGCAUGACAGCACGUUUGACUACAGACCUACCAGCUGGCCCGGUAUGGUGCUCAACAACCAGGAUAAGAAAGUUCGGUACCAACUCAUCAAUUACGAACGGCCGGUGAAAUCACAUUACCCUACAUGCGCUCCUUCGUACAACACUUGUUAAAUAAAUUGGGGCUGUGGCGGCUGUCGACCAGCGCCGUGUUGUCAUCCGUGCAAACCCUGCUGCGGCGGUGGAUCCCUCGUCACAGUAUACAGUCAAGUAGCACAUAUCCAGUGACCAGUGCCGCACCACCGCACUCGCGAUCACUUACUAAAUGCUGUACUAGCGCUGGGCCAGCCGCCAAGACCGAUCGCAGCAUUCGACAAAGCAGUCAUUCAAAUUGGUCAUCGUUAAAUGCUGACUGAGUCAGGAUUUGACUUCAAGUCUUUUCGUCCGGUGAAAGUUCUGUACCGUCACGUACCAUAAAGUGGUUGUAUUACGUAAAAGUGUGAAUAAAAAUUGUUAUAUUUA
This is a long non-coding RNA of Spodoptera frugiperda (fall armyworm), 725 nucleotides long. RefSeq lists it as uncharacterized. NCBI's taxonomy places the organism in Eukaryota, Metazoa, Arthropoda, Insecta, Lepidoptera, Noctuidae. The transcript has 5 exons. The record is from RefSeq and is a predicted model, not a curated record.